Molecule: unclassified non-coding RNA, 375 nt
Filed under: uncultured Ignavibacteria bacterium
Lineage: Bacteria; Pseudomonadati; Ignavibacteriota; Ignavibacteria
Description: contains 16S-23S intergenic spacer region
Source: RNAcentral
UCACUACUUGCGUAGGCAGUCUCCUUAGAGUGCUCGGCAUUACCCGGUGGCAACUAAGGACAAGGGUUGCGCUCGUUGCGGGACUUAACCCAACACCUCACGGCACGAGCUGACGACAGCCAUGCAGCAUCUGUACAAGCUCCCCUUGCGGGACGCGGGCUUUCACCCGCCUUAGCUUGCUUUUCAAGCCCAGGUAAGGUUCUUCGCGUUGCAUCGAAUUGAACCACAUGCUCCACUGCUUGUGCGGGCCCCCGUCAAUUCCUUUGAGUUUCAACCUUGCGAUCGUACUCCCCAGGUGGGAUACUUAAUGGGUUGCCUCCGACACUGAGAUUUUACUCCCAACGUCUAGUAUCCAUCGUUUACAGCGUGGACUAC